This 2006-nucleotide ribosomal RNA is filed under the name human gut metagenome. Its description in RNAcentral is "bacterial LSU rRNA". It matches the Rfam family "Bacterial large subunit ribosomal RNA", at positions 808 to 2841 of the family's 2925-position model. The record is from RNAcentral.
GGUGUGGAUAGGGGAGAAAUUCCAAUCGAACCCGGAGAUAGCUGGUUCUCCUCGAAAUAGCUUUAGGGCUAGCCUCUGGUUAGUCUGCCGCAGGUAGAGCACUGAAUUUCCUAGGGGGCGUCAAAGCCUACCGAAGAAUAUCAAACUGCGAAUGGCGGACAGAUGAUGCCAGGGAGUCAGACUGCACGAGAUAAGUUGGGUGGUCAAAAGGGAAAGAGCCCAGACCUACAGCUAAGGUCCCAAAGUGUGUGUUAAGUGGAAAAGGAUGUGGGAUUUCGAAGACAACUAGGAUGUUGGCUCAGAAGCAGCCACACAUUAAAAGAGUGCGUAAUAGCUCACUAGUCGAGAGGUCCUGCGCCGAAAAUGUCCGGGGCUAAAACACAACACCGAAGCUUAGGAAUUCUAAUGAAUUGGUAGAGGAGCAUUGAAGACGGAACGAAGCCAUACCGAAAGGAAUGGUGGACUGUCUUGAAGAGAGAAUGCCGGAAUGAGUAGCGAGAUUGAAGUGAGAAUCUUCAAGGCCGAAUAUCUAAGGUUUCCAGGGUAAAGCUGAUCUGCCCUGGGUAAGUCGGGGCCUAAGGCAAGGUCGAAAGACGUAGUCGAUGGAUAACAGGUUGAAAUUCCUGUACUGCAUCAAAUCAGAAAUGUGGGGACACAUGAGGGAAGCAUGAGCCGGAAAAGGAAAGUCCGGUACAAGCGCAGCAGAGGACAGAUAGGCAAAUCCGUCUGUCAACUCAAGGGCGCGAUGUGGAGCGAACCAAAGUAGCGAAGCAUGUGGAGCUUGUGUCGAGAAAAGCCGCUAUAGUGUUUGAUGUACCCGUACCGUAAACCGACACAGGUGGAUGAGGAGAGAAUCCUAAGGCCGGCGGGAGAAGCAUUGUUAAGGAACUCGGCAAAAUGACCCCGUAACUUCGGGAGAAGGGGUGCUCCAGAGAUGGAGCCGCAGAGAACUGGCCCAAGCAACUGUUUAGCAAAAACACAGGUCUAUGCAAAACCGAAAGGUGAGGUAUAUGGGCUGACGCCUGCCCGGUGCUGGAAGGUUAAGAGGAGAGGUUAGCGCAAGCGAAGCUUUGAAUUUAAGCCCCAGUAAACGGCGGCCGUAACUAUAACGGUCCUAAGGUAGCGAAAUUCCUUGUCGGGUAAGUUCCGACCCGCACGAAAGGCGUAAUGAUUUGGGCACUGUCUCAACAAUGCACCCGGUGAAAUUGAAAUACCAGUGAAGAUGCUGGUUACCUGCGCCAGGACGGAAAGACCCCAUGGAGCUUUACUCUAGCUUGAUACUGGGGUUCGGUAUUGCAUGUACAGGAUAGGUGGGAGACUGAGAAGAUGUGUCGCCAGAUGCAUCAGAGUCGAUGUUGGGAUACCACCCCUGCAGUACUGGGCUUCUAACCUGCAGCCGUGACCCGGCUGGGGGACAAUGUCUGGUGGGGAGUUUGACUGGGGCGGUCGCCUCCGAAAGAGUAUCGGAGGCGCUCAAAGGUUCCCUCAGAAUGGUUGGAAACCAUUCGAAGAGCGCAAAGGCAGAAGGGAGCUUGACUGCGACACCGACGGGUGGAGCAGGUACGAAAGUAGGACUUAGUGAUCCGGUGGUAUAAAGUGGGAUUGCCAUCGCUCAACGGAUAAAAGCUACCCUGGGGAUAACAGGCUUAUCACUCCCAAGAGUUCACAUCGACGGAGUGGUUUGGCACCUCGAUGUCGGCUCAUCGCAUCCUGGGGCUGUAGUAGGUCCCAAGGGUUGGGCUGUUCGCCCAUUAAAGCGGUACGCGAGCUGGGUUCAGAACGUCGUGAGACAGUUCGGUCCCUAUCCGGCGUGGGCGUAGGAUAUCUGAGAGGAGCUGUCCUUAGUACGAGAGGACCGGGAUGGACUGACCUCUGGUGCACCGGUUGCAUUGCCAAAUGCAUAGCCGGGUAGCCAAGUCGGGACGGGAUAAACGCUGAAGGCAUCUAAGCGUGAAGCCCCCCUCAAGAUGAGAUAUCCCAUAACGUAAGUUAGUAAGACCCCUUGA